Molecule: non-coding RNA, 310 nt
Organism: Macaca mulatta (Rhesus monkey)
Lineage: Eukaryota; Metazoa; Chordata; Mammalia; Primates; Cercopithecidae
Source: RefSeq, a predicted model, not a curated record
CGACUCCCACGACAGAGGCACGAGGUGGCUGGUUGCCGGGCAACGAGGCAUGGCUGCUCCCUGCUCUCAUCCGGCUCCCAGAAUCUUAGAUUGAGGGCGGGAAGAACAAACUGAGUUUCACUCUUGUUGCCCAGGCUGGAGCGCAAUGGCGUGAUCAGGCUGCUCCCUGGUUAUAAAUUCUCACUUGCUCACACUGUACUUGGAGUUGACCCCAAUCUCUUCCCUACUGCAAGACCCUUUGCAGUCAUCCCUAUAUCUAUCUCGAUUGACCCCCCCCUCCGUUGAAUAAAGUCUUCCAUGCCGUCUUUAA